CAGAGUAGGAACAGCGCGUCAAGUGCCGCAGGAUGGGAAGUUGUCUGCGGACGAAGGUGCCUUGUGAGCGCCGCGUUGCUGUCUCCGCAUCCGCUGC
This 97-nucleotide non-coding RNA is filed under the name uncultured Eubacterium sp. RNAcentral's name for it is "THF riboswitch". It matches the Rfam family "THF (Tetrahydrofolate) riboswitch aptamer". From Rfam's summary of the family: THF riboswitch presents a pseudoknot that joins P1-P2 and the loop of P3 and two THF binding. The record is from RNAcentral. Lineage: Bacteria; Bacillati; Bacillota; Clostridia; Eubacteriales; Eubacteriaceae.